Molecule: long non-coding RNA, 567 nt
Filed under: Chinchilla lanigera (long-tailed chinchilla)
Lineage: Eukaryota; Metazoa; Chordata; Mammalia; Rodentia; Chinchillidae
Description: lncRNA (ENSCLAG00000026960.1)
Source: RNAcentral
AAGGGCCUAGAUGUCCCCUGAAGCUGACUCAGCAUGUGUCAUUCUUUCCUGUCAGUCUCACCCAGAGACCCAGUGAGAUCUCAGCGUCUCACACAGAAACCCUAUCCCCUCAGGAAUAACUCCUGAGGCUGCUGUUGGCGCCCAAGAGGACAGGACCUUGAAUGGGCCUUGCUGGAAUGGACAUAGGGUGGCCUGGCCCGGCGGACGUUUCCAGAAGGCUCUGCACUCUAACCCCCAGGGCAGGAGCUGGCACGGAGACCCCUGAGCCCACUUCUGAGAAGCUGGGAGAUGCCAGGAGAGGCGGGCCUGCUGACCCCUGCAGCCCAGCGACUUCUGAAUCUAAGUAUCACCUUGGCCAGAGGAGUUGAGAGGAGUUUUGGGGCGACUGUUCUAGGUGAGGGUAGAGAUUGCAAAAGAACCUGAGACCUGAGAGGACUGAGCGAAGCAGGGAGCUCUUUGGUUGUUCAAGAAGGAAGCGAGCUUUAGUGCCCUGUGUGAGAUGGCUGGUGGGUGCCUAGGGUUAUGGGUUGUUAUGGUUGAUACACUGUGUCAACUUAAGGAGUCUAG